GUGGGGAAUAUUGGACAAUGGGCGAAAGCCUGAUCCAGCCAUGCCGCGUGUGUGAAGAAGGUCUUCGGAUUGUAAAGCACUUUAAGUUGGGAGGAAGGGCAGUAAGUUAAUACCUUGCUGUUUUGACGUUACCGACAGAAUAAGCACCGGCUAACUUCGUGCCAGCAGCCGCGGUAAUACGAAGGGUGCAAGCGUUAAUCGGAAUUACUGGGCGUAAAGCGCGCGUAGGUGGUUUUGUAAGUUGGAGGUGAAAUCCCCGGGCUCAACCUGGGAACUGCCUCCAAAACUGCAUGACUAGAGUACGGUAGAGGGUAAUGGAAUUUCCUGUGUAGCGGUGAAAUGCGUAGAUAUAGGAAGGAACACCAGUGGCGAAGGCGACUACCUGGACUGAUACUGACACUGAGGUGCGAAAGCGUGGGGAGCAAACAGGAUUAGAAACCCCGGUAGUCC
RNAcentral lists this ribosomal RNA (450 nucleotides) under uncultured bacterium. RNAcentral's name for it is "partial 16S ribosomal RNA". It matches the Rfam family "Bacterial small subunit ribosomal RNA", at positions 354 to 796 of the family's 1533-position model. The record is from RNAcentral.